RNAcentral lists this ribosomal RNA (395 nucleotides) under uncultured bacterium. Its description in RNAcentral is "bacterial SSU rRNA". It matches the Rfam family "Bacterial small subunit ribosomal RNA", at positions 29 to 454 of the family's 1533-position model. The record is from RNAcentral.
ACGAACGCUGGCGGCAGGCUUAACACAUGCAAGUCGAACGCUCCGCAAGGAGAGUGGCAGACGGGUGAGUAACACGUGGGAACGUACCCUUUACUACGGAACAACUCCGGGAAACUGGAGCUAAUACCGUAUGUGCCCUUCGGGGGAAAGAUUUAUCGGUAAAGGAUCGGCCCGCGUUGGAUUAGCUAGUUGGUGGGGUAAAGGCCUACCAAGGCGACGAUCCAUAGCUGGUCUGAGAGGAUGAUCAGCCACAUUGGGACUGAGACACGGCCCAAACUCCUACGGGAGGCAGCAGUGGGGAAUAUUGGACAAUGGGCGCAAGCCUGAUCCAGCCAUGCCGCGUGAGUGAUGAAGGCCUUAGGGUUGUAAAGCUCUUUCACCGGAGAAGAUAAUGA